Molecule: long non-coding RNA, 570 nt
Organism: Phyllostomus hastatus (greater spear-nosed bat)
Lineage: Eukaryota; Metazoa; Chordata; Mammalia; Chiroptera; Phyllostomidae
Exons: 3
Source: RefSeq, a predicted model, not a curated record
GAAAACUAGUUUUCCGUAGCUGGGAGGUGUCUGAGGAAAAGGUGCUUUUAAGGAGAGGUGUAGGUCCCCCCAUACCUCUGAGCUCUUAAAUCUUCCCACUCCAUCCUUGCUACAGGCUUGCACCCCAAUCUGGAGAGGAAGGAGCUAGAGCGCAGAGCUCAGAAAUUGCAGUGAUCAUUCAUUCUGUUUCUCUUCCGGCACUUCUCUGCAGAGCUGCAAGGUAUUAUGAUCGCUGAGUGAAGGUUCAGAGAGAUCGAAUUGCCCAGCCUCACUCUAGAACAAAAGACUGAAGAUUGUGCUUUCCAGGCUGAGCUGGAAUGCAGGUGCCUUGCCAGAGAGGAGUGGAGCAGAGCAGGAGCAGACUAGCGUGAAGCACAGCAGACCUUCCUGGAGCACAGCGGAGCAGAGCUGGGUGGAGAAGGGCCUGGCCCCAGAGCUCGUCCACAGCAGUACUGUUUUCAGAGCUAUGCUGUAUUGCAACUGUGCUGUUUUGCAUUGAAUAAAGUUUCCUUCUUUACCAUAUGCUCCCCACACCCUCAAAAAACUAAAAAAAAAUAAAUAAAAAUGAAG